Non-coding RNA from Mycena vulgaris, 91 nucleotides. NCBI's taxonomy places the organism in Eukaryota, Fungi, Basidiomycota, Agaricomycetes, Agaricales, Mycenaceae. The record is from the annotation of a GenBank genome assembly.
GUCUUGGUGGUGGAUUUGGUACCGUGCUUGCUUUCUGUAUGCGAAGGUCCAAUUCAAGCGGGAGUUCCUCGUUCGAUUCGAGGCCAGGUCA